CUCACAGAGGUCACCAUCUCUGGGGCAUCUUGCAGAGAGCUCAGAAGCUUCUCUUACAACUUCCACAGAGCCACCGAGCUUCCCUCUGCAGUGAAUAAAUGUUCCUGGAAACCAUUUUUAUGAGAAAUGCAGUAUCUUCCCUGAUUUUAAAUGCACCACGGCAGGAGAACGACAGUACCAGAACAAAGGGGACCUUGCCAUUUGCUGUCACCAUGUGAUUUGGUUCUGGCCAAUGAGCUGUAAUUUCAAGAGAUGACUAAGGCCUCCAGAAACUUCUAAAGGGCUUGUGUUCAGCUACUAAUGACACUUUAUUGGCUUCUGCAUUUUCCCCUUUUUUCAGCCAGCAAUGCAAGCAUAAUGGCUGAAACCUCAGCAGCGAACUUUAAGCCAUAGGUGAUGUUAAAAGUGGAAGUCAGGAGUUAGGAUGAAAGGAAACCAAGAUAUUGGAGACUUAGGAGCUCUUGGAACAUAAAGCAAUGGAAUUAUCAUUACAGACUCUGCAUUUCUUGUGUCUCCUUCAGUUCUCCCUUUUCUGCAGUGAACUGAGUUGGACAAACAGAAAUAAACCUGCUAAUUCUCAUAACUCUUCUCGAGACCCAAAAAUGUCACCUACUACUUCUUCUCCUUAACCCUAUACUUGCUCCUCCCAGAUAUUCAGAGAAAUCUUCCUCUGGCCAAAUUCUUUCCAGUCUUACAAUGUUUUCUAUUUCCAAUCCAAGUGUUUCCUCAGCCUGUAUUCCUAGAAAGAGAGAAGCAGGAAGAGAGGAGAGAGGCCUCCGUCACCUCCGUGCCUGGGAGGGGAGCUUGGUUCUACUUCAUGCUGAGCUUGGCUUUUCUUAGAUGGCAUCCUUCCAAAGAGCCAAAGAAGGGGCUUUGCUUGACCAGCUGGUGUCUGGUGCUUGGUGCAUGAGGCUGCUGUCUACCCACAAGGCAAAGAGGAUGUCAAGUCUGUUGGGCAUUUAGGAGCAUGCCAAGAGCAGAACAGCUUCUACAGUGACAUUGUCACCAUUUCCCUCUGGUGUGUUUCACAAAUGGUUGAUGGGAUUAGACAGCAUGCCUUUCUUAGAAGACUUUACAAACACCAUUGCUUAUACUAAGAUGAAAGUGGUGUUUUGGGGAAAAUGCCAAGUUGCAAAUCUGAGGUGGAGAAGAUAUUCCAUUAACCUUGUAUCUAGUAGGCUGUCUAUUAAUUUCAAAUGAUAAAGAGAUGUCAGAUAAAGCCAAUUAGCAUAAAACACUCUUAGCUUUGCAAACAUUCAACAAAUAGCAACAAGAAUGAAGGACAUGUAGGGAUGGAGCUUUUCCAUGGGACUAUUAAAAGUGAUUGUGUCUUCACUUCUUUCAUCUUGUAUAUUCUAUGUGCAAGUCCUAAGGCAACUACUAAGUGAUCCAGUCUUCUGUCUUUUCCCUCCUCUGUGAUGAACAUGCUGGAUCUCUUUGUGGAGAAGAGACAAAUGAUGACACCUUUGCAGUGACUCGAUGUCCUUCACCUACUAGGAAACGGUCACUUCCAAACUCCUGGUGCAACUGUCAUAAUGGUGGCCUCUGUUGGGGCUUUUCCAGGGCA
Talpa occidentalis (Iberian mole) is the source of this 1567-nucleotide long non-coding RNA. RefSeq lists it as uncharacterized. The transcript has 3 exons. The record is from RefSeq and is a predicted model, not a curated record. Lineage: Eukaryota; Metazoa; Chordata; Mammalia; Eulipotyphla; Talpidae.